GAUGAACGCUGGCGGCGUGCCUAAUACAUGCAAGUCGAGCGAAUGGAUUAAGAGCUUGCUCUUAUGAAGUUAGCGGCGGACGGGUGAGUAACACGUGGGUAACCUGCCCAUAAGACUGGGAUAACUCCGGGAAACCGGGGCUAAUACCGGAUAACAUUUUGAACCGCCUGGUUCGAAAUUGAAAGGCGGCUUCGGCUGUCACUUAUGGAUGGACCCGCGUCGCAUUAGCUAGUUGGUGAGGUAACGGCUCACCAAGGCAACGAUGCGUAGCCGACCUGAGAGGGUGAUCGGCCACACUGGGACUGAGACACGGCCCAGACUCCUACGGGAGGCAGCAGUAGGGAAUCUUCCGCAAUGGACGAAAGUCUGACGGAGCAACGCCGCGUGAGUGAUGAAGGCUUUCGGGUCGUAAAACUCCGUUGUUAGGGAAGAACAAGUGCUAGUUGAAUAAGCUGGCACCUUGACGGUACCUAACCAGAAAGCCACGGCUAACUACGUGCCAGCAGCCGCCGUAG
This 515-nucleotide ribosomal RNA is filed under the name uncultured bacterium. RNAcentral's name for it is "partial 16S ribosomal RNA". It matches the Rfam family "Bacterial small subunit ribosomal RNA", at positions 28 to 523 of the family's 1533-position model. The record is from RNAcentral.